Molecule: ribosomal RNA, 489 nt
Filed under: uncultured bacterium
Lineage: Bacteria
Description: partial 16S ribosomal RNA
Rfam family: Bacterial small subunit ribosomal RNA
Source: RNAcentral
GACGAACGCUGGCGGCGUGCUUAACACAUGCAAGUCGAACGGUGAAGGGAUCAGCUUGCUGGUUCUGGAUGAGUGGCGAACGGGUGAGUAACACGUGAGUAACCUGCCCCCUUCUUCUGGAUAACCGCAUGAAAGUGUGGCUAAUACGGGAUAUUCUGCGCCUGCUGCAUGGUGGGUGUGGGAAAGAUAUUGUUUCGGUGGGGGAUGGGCUCGCGGCCUAUCAGCUUGUUGGUGGGGUGAUGGCCUACCAAGGCGGUGACGGGUAGCCGGCCUGAGAGGGUGGACGGUCACACUGGGACUGAGGCACGGCCCAGACUCCUACGGGAGGCAGCAGUGGGGAAUAUUGCACAAUGGGCGCAAGCCUGAUGCAGCGACGCCGCGUGAGGGAUGGAGGCCUUCGGGUUGUGAACCUCUUUCGCCAGUGAAGCAGGCCUGUCCCUUGUGGGUGGGUUGACGGUAGCUGGAGAAGAAGCGCCGGCUAACUACGUG